GACGAACGCUGGCGGCGUGCUUAACACAUGCAAGUCGAACGGAAAGGCCCUGCUUUUGUGGGGUGCUCGAGUGGCGAACGGGUGAGUAACACGUGAGUAACCUGCCCUUGACUUUGGGAUAACUUCAGGAAACUGGGGCUAAUACCGGAUAGGAGCUCCUGCUGCAUGGUGGGGGUUGGAAAGUUUCGGCGGGUGGGGAUGGACUCGCGGCUUAUCAGCUUGUUGGUGGGGUAGUGGCUUACCAAGGCUUUGACGGGUAGCCGGCCUGAGAGGGUGACCGGCCACAUUGGGACUGAGAUACGGCCCAGACUCCUACUGGAGGCAGCAGUGGGGAAUAUUGCACAAUGGGCGGAAGCCUGAUGCAGCAACGCCGCGUGCGGGAUGACGGCCUUCGGGUUGUAAACCGCUUUCGCCUGUGACGAAGCGUGAGUGACGGUAAUGGGUAAAGAAGCACCGGCUAACUACGUG
This 468-nucleotide ribosomal RNA is filed under the name uncultured bacterium. RNAcentral's name for it is "partial 16S ribosomal RNA". It matches the Rfam family "Bacterial small subunit ribosomal RNA", at positions 28 to 507 of the family's 1533-position model. The record is from RNAcentral.